This 794-nucleotide ribosomal RNA is filed under the name uncultured eukaryote. RNAcentral's name for it is "partial 18S ribosomal RNA". It matches the Rfam family "Eukaryotic small subunit ribosomal RNA", at positions 568 to 1188 of the family's 1831-position model. The record is from RNAcentral.
GCCAAAGGCGCCCGAAGGCWGGGGGCCGGUGUGGGAUGCUMGCGGGGUACCCGCGGGGCGGCSCGCCCCCGAGCCCCCCACCCGUKCCCGSSWAUCAUCCUUCCUGGCCAGCUAAUCCCCCGACCCCCCCCCCCGAGGCCCWUUCCAACAUCCGAGGCCACGAACCKGCACCCCCAAAGACGCCCGACUCCUAACACCCCUCCUAAUCCAGCUCCAAUAGCGUAUAUUAAAGUUGUUGCAGUUAAAAAGCUCGUAGUUGGAUUUCGGAAGGUCCUUAGCAAUCCGCCCCUUCGGGGAGCGGGUUGCUGGCCUCCUAUGUUCCUAACGGUCCUCAUCCGCGAGGGUGGGGAAUCAACCGCUAGGAUCGUUUACUUUGAGGAAAUUAGAGUGUUCAAAGCAGGCGUAACUCGCCUCCGAAUACGUUAGCAUGGGAUAAUGGAAUACGACUUCGGUCUUGUUUCGUUGGUUUCGCUUGGCUGAAGUAAUGAUUGAUAGGGACAGUUGGGGGCAUUAGUAUUUAGUUGUCAGAGGUGAAAUUCUAGGAUUUACUAAAGACUGACCAAUGCGAAAGCAUUUGCCAAGGAUGUUUUCAUUAAUCAAGAACGAAAGUAGGGGGAUCGAAGACGAUCAGAUACCGUCGUAGUCUCUACCGUAAACUAUGCCGACCAGGGAUCCGGAGAGUUUGCAUGGAUGACUCCCCGGGCACCUUGUGAGAAAUCAUAAGUGUUUGGGUUUUGGGGGGAGUAUGGUCGCAAGGCUGAAACUAAAGGAAUGACGMCGUACCCACMMCGGUU